GCGGGCAUGGCGGAAUGGCAGACGCACUAGGUUCAGGACCUAGUGAGAGCAAUCUCGUGGAGGUUCAACUCCUCCUGCCCGCA
RNAcentral lists this transfer RNA (83 nucleotides) under Candidatus Nealsonbacteria bacterium RBG_13_42_11. RNAcentral describes it as "tRNA-Leu". It matches the Rfam family "tRNA". Rfam says of the family: Transfer RNA (tRNA) molecules are approximately 80 nucleotides in length. Their secondary structure includes four short double-helical elements and three loops (D, anti-codon, and T loops). Further hydrogen bonds mediate the characteristic L-shaped molecular structure. tRNAs have two regions of fundamental functional importance: the anti-codon, which is responsible for specific mRNA codon recognition, and the 3' end, to which the tRNAs corresponding amino acid is attached (by aminoacyl-tRNA synthetases). tRNAs cope with the degeneracy of the genetic code in two manners: having more than one tRNA (with a specific anti-codon) for a particular amino acid; and 'wobble' base-pairing, i.e. permitting non-standard base-pairing at the 3rd anti-codon position. The record is from RNAcentral. Lineage: Bacteria; Candidatus Nealsoniibacteriota.